Molecule: ribosomal RNA, 320 nt
Filed under: uncultured eukaryote
Lineage: Eukaryota
Description: partial 18S ribosomal RNA
Rfam family: Eukaryotic small subunit ribosomal RNA
Source: RNAcentral
CCCUUAGAUGUUCUGGGCCGCACGCGCGCUACACUGACGAAUGCAACGAGCUUAUAACCUUGGCCGAAAGGUCUGGGUAAUCUCCAAAUUUCGUCGUGAUGGGGAUAGAUUAUUGCAAUUAUUAAUCUUCAACGAGGAAUUCCUAGUAAACGCAAGUCAUCAGCUUGCAUUGAUUACGUCCCUGCCCUUUGUACACACCGCCCGUCGCACCUACCGAUUGAAUGGUCCGGUGAAAUCUCGGGACGGCGGCUUGGUCGCUUGCGUCCGACUGCUGAAACUUGAUUAAACCAUAUCAUUUAGAGGAAGGUGAAGUCGUAACA